UGCCUGCAUAUUCGUGCACUUUGGGUGUACUUGCCCGUGUGUAAGUUAACAUCAAUUUUGGUGGUCAUAAAAUGGCGGGAGGAAUGUAGCUUCGAUCUUGUAUUGAAGUGUUAUAGCCUUCGGUAGAUGUGACGAUCGGGAUUGAGGAUUGCAACGGAUACCCUUCGGGGCUACCUGUCUGAUCUCUGAUUGUUGCUCUGGUACCGAAAGCUUGCUUACGGUUAUCAAAGUCGAUGGUCCAUAGGUUAGAACGGGUUAAAUUCGUUAAGGAUGUUGACGUAA
Molecule: ribosomal RNA, 282 nt
Filed under: uncultured fungus
Lineage: Eukaryota; Fungi
Description: partial large subunit ribosomal RNA
Source: RNAcentral